CCGGCGGCGCGUCACGGUGUCACGAGCCAAUCCAGGAAGUACCUGGCCACAACAACAGCGAUGAAGAUACGAGUAACUGGGCGAACCUAGAGAGUCUCCGUGCCGUACACGAGUCAACCAAUGUUGAUGCCUCCAGCCUGUGCCAAAAAACGAAUGUUACCGAGAUGGAAAGAGCUGUCACAGUCGUCAUUUUGUCGCUCGUCUUCUUGGCAUCGCAGAUAAACUGCCAAGAGGCGAUCCUGCACAUUUCAAAUGGAAACACAGAGAGGGAGUACUGCAUUGUCCACAAUCACUCCUGGACCCCCCUGUCACAAAGCCUUGAUGCUGCUUUGCAGUACCCACUGGUGAAUAUGACCUCCACUAUGCUGUGUAACAACUCAACGGUCUUUCCGGAUGUCAAGGGCAAAGCGUUGGUGGUGAUGAGGGGAGACUGUGAUUUCAGCCAGAAAGCUCUCCUUGCUCAGAGCCUCGGCGCAACAGCUUUGCUCCUUGCCAGCAACAAAACAUUGAUCACUCCAUCAGCCAAUGACUCCGAGUAUGCAAAGGUCCACAUUCCUCUUGCUCUCAUGAGGUACAGGGACUUCCUGGAAGCACAGAAGGUGUUUGGCGAAAAUAUGGAGGUGAAGCUUUAUGCUCCACCUCAGUCAAAGCUUGAUCCAAGCAUAGCAGUCAUGCUACUGAUUGCUAUUGUCACGGUUGCCUUGGGCGGCCUCUGGAGUGGAGCAUGCGAGAGGGACCGGUUGAAUGGGGGUGCAGACGCGGGAGAAGUGGGAGGCAACAAAGCUGAGAUUUUCCUCUACUCUCCUCUCAAAAUAGUUUUCUUUGUUGCCCUGAUGUGUGGGAUGCUGGUCCUCAUGUACUUCUUCUAUAACGUCCUUGUUUACGUCAUUAUUGCCAUAUUCUGCCUGGCAUCUGCCUCUGCACUGUUCAGCUGUUUCGAUGCAGUGAUGGAAAAAAUUGGUUGUGGCACUGUGAGCUUCUCUGUCCGAAGUUGGAAGCUUUCAGUGAGGUCUAUCAUACUGGCUAGUGUGUGCAUUACCAUUGCUGUGAUCUGGGGAGUCUACAGGAAUGAAGACAGAUGGAUCUGGAUCCUUCAGGACCUUCUUGGCAUUGCUUUCUGCCUCAACUUCAUGAAGACCAUCUCACUGUCCAACUUCAAGAUCUGCGUGAUUCUGCUGACCCUCCUGCUUGUGUAUGAUGUCUUCUUUGUCUUCAUCACUCCAUUCUUCACAAAGAAUGGAGUAAGCAUUAUGGUGCAGGUUGCCCUGGGCCCGGAUGCAUCUGGAGAGAAGACACAAGGUAACAUGGUGGAGGUCCCUGCUGAACCCCAGAUUCCCUCCGAGAAACUGCCAGUGGUGAUGCGUGUCCCCCGGUUCUCAGCUUGGGCUCAGAACCUGUGUGGGAUACAGUUCUCCAUUCUUGGUUAUGGAGAUAUCAUUGUUCCAGGUCUCCUGGUGGCCUACUGCAGCAGGUUUGAUGUUUGGAUCAACAGCAGGAAGAAGAUCUACUUCGUCAGCUGCUGCAUAGCCUAUCUGCUGGGAAUGAUAAUGACAUUUGCUGUGAUGCUGCUGUCAGGGAUGGGCCAACCUGCCCUACUCUACCUGGUGCCAUUCACCCUGAUAACCUCCGCCGUGGUGGCUGGGUGCAGGGGUGAGAUGAGGCAGUUCUGGGCAGGAACCACCUAUGAGGUAACUGAGAGGACGGAGGUCGCACCAGACCCCACCCGAGGCUCCUGCGAGGAAGGGGUUCAUGAAUUUAAUGGCAGCGUCAAGAGAUGUUAGUGCAGUUGAACUCAGUUAUGACUGUCUUGGACUCAUCCAGGGAACCUUUGCUGCCAGAGGGAAGAACUGACUGCUCCAUAGACAGAGAGAAAUGCUGACUUACUGUGUUGAGAAUGGACCCAACUGCUGGAUGCUUUUUUUUUUCUUUUUUUUCCUUUCUUUUUUUUUUUUUUACAUUUUAAUAUGACAUUUGCAAACCGAGGGAACACAUGUUAUUGAUCAGCAGAUUCUCUAAAGAUUAUGGGUUCAUUUGACUGGUGUGAAUGUUGGUUAGAUGAAGGCUAAUUCAUUUUCUGUAGGUGCAAAAUGUAGAUGUUUAAAAUGAUUGAAAGGCUUGUUUAGUGCCUGAAGGGUCUGUUCAGUUCAUGUCCAGAAAACUGACUUUGCCUUGGUGACGAAUGCAUACAGCAAAAUAAGAAAGCACUUUAUAACAUUUAGCCUGACGGUUGUUUCAUCGGGGGAGGGGGUUUGGGUUUUAAUUAUUGGCAGCCACACUAUUGAUACAUUUUUGAUAACUGUUUUGGGGUUUCUGUGUAACCUGUUUGUAUGAUGUGAUUUCUUUCAUUGCCUUAUAUUAAAAAGAACUUCUAUCUAUUGUU
This is an RNA transcript of Acanthopagrus latus (yellowfin seabream), 2380 nucleotides long. RefSeq lists it as uncharacterized. NCBI's taxonomy places the organism in Eukaryota, Metazoa, Chordata, Actinopteri, Spariformes, Sparidae. The transcript has 18 exons. The record is from RefSeq and is a predicted model, not a curated record.